UCUGACGUCAACUGCUUGUGCCGAAGGUAAAAUACACAUGUAGUAAAAAGCCAAUAGAUGUCACAUUCGUGUCGCUUGGAUCCACACGUGUCCACACAAGCUGCUUUAAUUACAUUUCCCGGCUCCUCCUCCAAUCGGCAGCAUCCCUGCGAGCUGUUUGUAGUCCAUGUACCGUUUGAUAUUUUCUCCCCCUCCCUCCUGGCUCCCGCAUCUACUGCAAGAGCGGCACACAUACACACGCAGCCACCUCCUCCUGCUUGUAAUGCGGAGAAAAGCCGUUCGCCUCAUAUCUCCCUCUCCGAAGGUAGGAUCUCAUUUAACAUCUUUGUUUUGGAAAAGAAAAAAAGUCGUUCUUGGGAGCUCGAAUGGUUUUACUCUUUUUUUUGUCUAGGAAGACUCAUAUUUUCUCAAUACAGGGGAAAGUACAGCAGAAAGGUGACCUCAAGGAGUCGAGACAAUGACCCCAAUGACUACGUAGAACAGGAUGACAAGUAGGCUACAAAGAUGUCCGUCUUGAAAGCUUACCUCCGUGGUCAGUCCCCUUCGCAGUCUGAGGAAGAACACACCUGUGUGAGCACAGAUUCAUUAUCUCCUCUGGAGAUGCUCUGGUACCUGUUUAUGCUAAUUUGUGGCUUACCUCAAUUUAUCAAUUUCCUGGAGAACUUGAAUGAAUGUCCUCUCCCCUCAUUUUCCCAAGCAACAUCUUUGAACUUAGCUGAUGGCCUGAAAUGGAAGGGACUUUUAACUGACAUGCAAAGCAACCAGCCACAGUUAGUGGUGAGUCACUAUGGCAUUUAAAGAGAGAGAAUGUUGUUGGUC
Long non-coding RNA from Clupea harengus (Atlantic herring), 819 nucleotides. RefSeq lists it as uncharacterized. Lineage: Eukaryota; Metazoa; Chordata; Actinopteri; Clupeiformes; Clupeidae. The record is from RefSeq and is a predicted model, not a curated record.